UACGAAGGGUGCAAGCGUUGUUCGGAUUUACUGGGCGUAAAGCGCGCGCAGGCGGAUCUGCAAGUCAGAUGUGAAAUCUCGGGGCUUAACUCCGAAAUUGCGUCUGAAACUGCAAAUCUAGAGUGUCGGAGAGGGAUGGGGAAUUUCCUGUGUAGGGGUAAAAUCCGUAGAGAUAGGAAGGAACACCAGAGGCGAAGGCGCCAUCCUGGAAGACAACUGACGCUGAGGCGCGAAAGCGUGGGGAGCAAACAGG
Molecule: ribosomal RNA, 253 nt
Filed under: uncultured bacterium
Lineage: Bacteria
Description: partial 16S ribosomal RNA
Rfam family: Bacterial small subunit ribosomal RNA
Source: RNAcentral